UACGUAGGGUGCAAGCGUUGUCCGGAAUUAUUGGGCGUAAAGAGCUCGUAGGCGGUUUGUUGCGUCGGCUGUGAAAUCCCGAGGCUCAACCUCGGGUCUGCAGUCGAUACGAGCAAACUAGAGUGUUGCAGGGGAGACUGGAAUUCCUGGUGUAGCGGUGGAAUGCGCAGAUAUCAGGAGGAACACCGAUGGCGAAGGCAGAUCUCUGGGCCGUAACUGACGCUGAGGAGCGAAAGCGUGGGGAGCGAACAGG
Molecule: ribosomal RNA, 253 nt
Filed under: uncultured bacterium
Lineage: Bacteria
Description: partial 16S ribosomal RNA
Rfam family: Bacterial small subunit ribosomal RNA
Source: RNAcentral